CUUUAUACUGGCUCAGUGUUCAGUACCUCAGAGAUGAGUCUUUAUACUGGCUCAGUGUUCAGUACCUCAGAGAUGAAGCUUUAUACUGGCUCAGUUUUCAGUACCUCAGAGAUGAAGCUUUAUACUGGCUCAGUUUUCAGUACCUCAGAGAUGAAGCUUUAUACUGGCUCAGUGUUCAGUGCCUCAGAGAUGAAGCUUUAUACUGGCUCAGUGUUCAGUACCUCAAAGAGGAAGCUUUAUACUGGCUCAGUGUUCAGUACCUCAAAGAGGAAGCUUUAUACUGGCUCAGUGUUCAGUGCCUCACUAACUCAGAGAUGAAGCUUUAUACUGGCUCAGUGUUCAGUACCUCAGAGAUGAAGCUUCAUACUGGCUCAGUGUUCAGUACCUCACUAGCUCAGAGAUGAAGCUUUAUACUGGCUCAGUGUUCAGUACCUCAGAGAUGAAGCUUUAUACUGGCUCAGUGUUCAGUACCUCAGAGAGGAAGAUAUAUACAGGGUCACUGCCAGUACCACAUUUACAAUGUGCAGGGGUAAUGGAGUAUUGAGGUAGAUAUGGACAUGUUGUCAAGGAUACUGGAACAUUGAGGUAGAUAGGGACAUAUAUGCAGGGAUACUGGAGUAUUGAGGUAGAUAGGGACAUAUAUGCAGGGAUACUGGAGUAUUGAGGUAGAUAUGGACAUAUAUGCAGGGAUACUGGAGUAUUGAGGUAGAUAGGGACAUAUAUGCAGGGAUACUGGAGUAUUGAGUUAGAUAUGGACAUAUAGGCAGGGAUACUGGAGUAUUGAGGUAGAUAGGGACAUAUAUGCAGGGAUACUGGAGUAUUGAGGUAGAUAUGGACAUAUAGUCAGGGAUACUGGAGUAUUGAGGUAGAUAUGGACAUAUAGGCAGGGAUACUGGAGUAUUGAGGUAGAUAUGGACAUAUAGGCAGGGAUACUGGAGUAUUGAGGUAGAUAUGGACAUAUAGGCAGGGAUACUGGAGUAUAAAGGGAUUUCUUGAAAGUGACUGGUAGCAGAAAAUAAUGACUGGUAUAUAAAUAAUAAUAUUAAUAAUGUUAAUAAUAAUAUUAUUAUGAAUAAUGAUAAUGAUAAUAUGUAAUAAUGAUAAUGACAAUAAUAAUAAUGAUAAUAACACCAAUGAUCAUAAUAAUAAUAAUAUUAUGAAUAAUAAUAAUGAUAAUAUUAUUAAUAAUACAAUAAUAAUAUAAAUAAUAAUAAUGAUAAUAUAUUAAUAAUAAUGCUGACAAUAAUGAUAAUAUAACGAUAAUAAUGAUAAUAUCAAUAAUAAUUAUGAUAAUAAUAAUGAACAUAUAAUGAUAAUAUUAAUAAUAAUUAUGAUAAUAAUAAUAAUGGUAAUAUAACGAUAAUAAUGAUG
Molecule: long non-coding RNA, 1371 nt
Organism: Oncorhynchus tshawytscha (Chinook salmon)
Lineage: Eukaryota; Metazoa; Chordata; Actinopteri; Salmoniformes; Salmonidae
Source: Ensembl